This 490-nucleotide ribosomal RNA is filed under the name uncultured bacterium. RNAcentral's name for it is "partial 16S ribosomal RNA". It matches the Rfam family "Bacterial small subunit ribosomal RNA", at positions 29 to 507 of the family's 1533-position model. The record is from RNAcentral.
AGUGAACGCUGGCGGCAGGCCUAACACAUGCCAGUCGAACGGCAGCACAAGAGAGCUUGCUCUCUGGGUGGCGAGUGGCGGACGGGUGAGGAAUGCAUCGGAAUCUGCCCAUUUGUGGGGGAUAACCUCGGGAAACCGGGACUAAUACCGCAUACGACCUACGGGUGAAAGCAGGGGAUCUUCGGACCUUGCGCAGAUGGAUGAGCCGAUGCCGGAUUAGCUAGUUGGAGGGGUAAAGGCCCACCAAGGCGACGAUCCGUAGCUGGUCUGAGAGGAUGAUCAGCCACACUGGGACUGAGACGCGGCCCAGACUCCUACGGGAGGCAGCAGUGGGGAAUAUUGGACAAUGGGCGCAAGCCUGAUCCAGCCAUGCCGCGUGUGUGAAGAAGGCCUUCGGGUUGUAAAGCACUUUUGUUGGGAAAGAAAAGCAGCCGGUUAAUACCCGGUUGUCAUGACGGUACCCAAAGAAUAAGCACCGGCUAACUUCGUG